CUGAGUUUACAGGAUGCUGGAACAUAUCGAUGUGGAGAGACUGGAAAGUGGAGUCAUGAUAUCAACCUGAGAGUAAUUAGAGAUCCAUGUUGUAUGAAGCCAAAGACUACAACAGCUAUUGUGGGUGGGACCGUCACCGUCCACUGUCCCUACCCAGAGCAGUUUGAAACAAAGAUGAAGUUCUUAUACAAAUGGGACAGUCAUUAUUUCACUAAAGUGAUCUAUAUCACAGAGACUCACAGAGACAGAUUCUCCAUCUCUGAUAACAGAAGCUCUAAAGUUGUCAGUGUGAGAAUCAGUGAUGUGAGUGAAGAUGAUGGAGGAGUUUAUUACUGUGCAGUGUGGACUGGAGGAGAAUCAGUCAGUUAUUACUCCCUCCACACAGAAAUCCAGCUAAAGGUUUUAGGGAAAACUGUAACAGAGAAGCCAAGAAGCCUAUCAGUAACAGAUCAGUCUG
Colossoma macropomum (tambaqui) is the source of this 457-nucleotide long non-coding RNA. RefSeq lists it as uncharacterized. NCBI's taxonomy places the organism in Eukaryota, Metazoa, Chordata, Actinopteri, Characiformes, Serrasalmidae. The record is from RefSeq and is a predicted model, not a curated record. The transcript has 3 exons.